This 253-nucleotide ribosomal RNA is filed under the name uncultured bacterium. Its description in RNAcentral is "partial 16S ribosomal RNA". It matches the Rfam family "Bacterial small subunit ribosomal RNA", at positions 524 to 776 of the family's 1533-position model. The record is from RNAcentral.
UACGGAGGGUGCGAGCGUUAAUCGGAAUUACUGGGCGUAAAGCGCACGCAGGCGGUUUGUUAAGCUAGAUGUGAAAGCCCCGGGCUCAACCUGGGAUGGUCAUUUAGAACUGGCAGACUAGAGUCUUGGAGAGGGGAGUGGAAUUCCAGGUGUAGCGGUGAAAUGCGUAGAUAUCUGGAGGAACAUCAGUGGCGAAGGCGACUCCCUGGCCAAAGACUGACGCUCANGUGCGAAAGUGUGGGUAGCAAACAGG